RNAcentral lists this microRNA precursor (63 nucleotides) under Pristionchus pacificus. RNAcentral's name for it is "mir-8364 microRNA precursor family". It matches the Rfam family "mir-8364 microRNA precursor family". The record is from Rfam by way of RNAcentral. Lineage: Eukaryota; Metazoa; Nematoda; Chromadorea; Rhabditida; Neodiplogasteridae.
UCUUCAUUUCGCACACACUCUCUCUCCGGUCUGAUAGGCGAGAUAGCGUGGGAGAUGAAGAGA